RNAcentral lists this ribosomal RNA (497 nucleotides) under uncultured bacterium. Its description in RNAcentral is "partial 16S ribosomal RNA". It matches the Rfam family "Bacterial small subunit ribosomal RNA", at positions 28 to 507 of the family's 1533-position model. The record is from RNAcentral.
GAUGAACGCUGGCGGCGUGCUUAAUACAUGCAAGUCGAGCGAACAGACGAGGAUCUUGCUCCUCUCACGUUAGCGGCGGACGGGUGAGUAACACGUGGAUAACCCACCUAUAAGACUGGGAUAACUUCGAGAAACCGGAGCUAAUACCGGAUAAUAUAUUGAACCGUAUGGUUCAAUAGUGAAAGACGGCUUUGCUGGCACUUAUAGAUGGUUCCGCGCCGCUUUAGCUAGUUGGGACGGUAACGGCUUACCAAGGCGACGAUGCGUAGACGAACUGAGAGGGGGGUCGGCCGCACUGGAAGUGGAACACGGUCCAGAGUCCUGCGGGAGGGAGCAGUAGGGAAUGGUCCGCAAUAGGGGGAAGCCUGGCGGAGCAAGGGCGCGUGAGUGAUGGAGGUCUUCGGAGCGUAAAACUCUGUUAUUAGGGGAGAACAAAUGUGUAAUUAGCUAUGGACGUAUUGACGGUACCUAGUCAAAAAGCCACGGCUAACUACGUG